AUACAGAGGGUGCGAGCGUUAAUCGGAAUUACUGGGCGUAAAGCGCGCGUAGGCGGCUGAUUAAGUCAGAUGUGAAAUCCCCGGGCUCAACCUGGGAACUGCAUCUGAUACUGGGUAGCUAGAGUUUAGGAGAGGGAAGUAGAAUUUCAGGUGUAGCGGUGAAAUGCAUAGAGAUCUGAAGGAAUACCAGUGGCGAAGGCGGCUUCCUGGCCUAAAACUGACGCUGAGGUGCGAAAGCGUGGGUAGCAAACGGGAUUAGAUACCCUGGUAGUCC
RNAcentral lists this ribosomal RNA (274 nucleotides) under uncultured bacterium. RNAcentral's name for it is "partial 16S ribosomal RNA". It matches the Rfam family "Bacterial small subunit ribosomal RNA", at positions 523 to 796 of the family's 1533-position model. The record is from RNAcentral.